This 696-nucleotide ribosomal RNA is filed under the name Triticum aestivum (bread wheat). Its description in RNAcentral is "partial small subunit ribosomal RNA". Lineage: Eukaryota; Viridiplantae; Streptophyta; Magnoliopsida; Poales; Poaceae. The record is from RNAcentral.
GAUUAUAGAGAUCCCAUACACUGCAUUGAGUGCAAGCUGUCGGUCGCCAAGGACUGCCCCCAAAUCCGGCGACGCCGUAGUGGUGGUCUGGCGCCUGCUGCUAGUCGUGCUCCUAUCCGCGAGAGGCUCCCCUUCCCCACGCCUUCUCCGCUCGCGCCGGCCAUGGACCGCUGCCGCCACACCGACCCCUCGCGCCGGCCAAGGGACAGGCACAAGGUGGUGAUCGAGUUGCCGGAGAUGGAGCAUCAGAUGUUACUCCUUCGCCGCCACACCGUCCUCCUCAUCUCCACGGCUGAGCGGCACAUGGCAAGCUCCAUGUCCGUCGGCCACGCCUUCGACGCCGUUCUCCGCACUCCGGCGCACCUGUUGCGGGUGACCAGCCACGACCCGGAGGACUUCGUCGUCCACUUUGAGCUGCCGGCGCACCGGGACAACACCGUCCGCCUAGGCUCCAUCAACGUCGACGGCGUCGUCUUCACCAUCAAGUCGUGGCACGAGGACGUCCACGCCGACCAUGAAGACUUCCUCCUCCACGUCUGCGUCGUCAUCGAGAAGAUGCCCAUGCACGUGUGGUCUGUCGACGGUGCGGCGGAGGUGCUCGACGACAAAUGCAUCAUCGACCAGCUCGACAGCCGCACGCACGAGCGUGGCCACACGCGGACCUUCACGUGCUGGGUGUGGGUGUACGACGUCGCC